ACACCGGCAGCUCAAGUGGUAGCUGUUUUUAUUGGGCCUAAAGCGUUCGUAGCCGGUUUGAUAAGUCUUUGGUGAAAGCUUAUGGCUUAACUGUAAGAAUUGCUGAAGAUACUGUCAGACUUGAAGUCGGGAGAGGUUAGAGGUACUACCGGGGUAGGGGUGAAAUCCUAUAAUCCUGGGAGGACCACCUGUGGCGAAGGCGUCUAACUGGAACGAUCUUGACGGUGAGUAACGAAAGCCAGGGGCGCGAACCGGAUUAGAUACCCGGGUAGUCCUGGCCGUAAACGAUGUGGACUUGGUGUUGGAAUGGCUUCGAGUUGUUCCAGUGCCGAAGGGAAGCUGUUAAGUCCACCGCCUGGGAAGUACGGUCGCAAGACUGAA
This 381-nucleotide ribosomal RNA is filed under the name uncultured archaeon. RNAcentral describes it as "bacterial SSU rRNA". It matches the Rfam family "Archaeal small subunit ribosomal RNA", at positions 473 to 853 of the family's 1478-position model. The record is from RNAcentral.